Molecule: ribosomal RNA, 340 nt
Filed under: uncultured bacterium
Lineage: Bacteria
Description: bacterial SSU rRNA
Rfam family: Bacterial small subunit ribosomal RNA
Source: RNAcentral
GACGAACGCUGGCGGCGUGCUUAACACAUGCAAGUCGAGCGGUAAGGCCCUUCGGGUACACGAGCGGCGAACGGGUGAGUAACACGUGGGUGACCUGCCUCUAGCUCUGGGAUAAGCCUGGGAAACUAGGGUCUAAUACCGGAUAUGACUCCACGGCGCAUGUUGUGGGGUGGAAAGCCUUGUGUGGCUAGAGAUGGGCCCGCGGCCUAUCAGCUUGUUGGUGGGGUGAUGGCCUACCAAGGCGACGACGGGUAGCCGGCCUGAGAGGGGCGACCGGGCCACACUGGGACUGAGACACGGCCCAGACUCCUACGGGAGGCAGCAGUGGGGAAUCUUGCGC